GAUGAACGCUGGCGGCGUGCCUAAUACAUGCAAGUCGAGCGAACAGACGAGGAGCUUGCUCCUCUGACGUUAGUGGCGGACGGGUGAGUAACACGUGGAUAACCUACCUAUAAGACUGGGAUAACUUCGGGAAACCGGAGCUAAUACCGGAUAAUAUAUUAAAACGCAUGGUUCAUUUUUGAAAGACGGAUUUGCUGUCCUUUAUAAUUGGCUCCCCGCCGCUUUAGCAAUUUGGUAAGGUAACGGCUUACUAAGGGAAGGAUGCGUAGCCGACCUGAGAGGUGGACCGCCAACACGGGAACGGGAACACGGUCCAGACUCCGACGGGAGGCAGAAGUAGGGAAUCUUCCGAAAUGGGGGAAAGCCGGACGGGGCAACGCGGCGGGAGUGAUGAGGGUCUUCGGUUCGUAAGACUUGGUGUUUGGGGAGGAACAAAUGUGUAAGUAACUAUGCACGUCGUGACGGUACCUAAUCAGAAAGCCACGGCUAACUACGUG
RNAcentral lists this ribosomal RNA (497 nucleotides) under uncultured bacterium. RNAcentral's name for it is "partial 16S ribosomal RNA". It matches the Rfam family "Bacterial small subunit ribosomal RNA", at positions 28 to 507 of the family's 1533-position model. The record is from RNAcentral.